GUAAACUGUACCUGGCUA
RNAcentral lists this unclassified non-coding RNA (18 nucleotides) under Mus musculus (house mouse). RNAcentral describes it as "oocyte_clustered_small_RNA2696". Lineage: Eukaryota; Metazoa; Chordata; Mammalia; Rodentia; Muridae. The record is from RNAcentral.